GACGAACGCUGGCGGCGUGCUUAACACAUGCAAGUCGAACGGAAAGGCCCUGCUUGCAGGGUACUCGAGUGGCGAACGGGUGAGUAACACGUGGGUGAUCUGCCCUGCACUUCGGGAUAAGCCUGGGAAACUGGGUCUAAUACCGGAUAGGAGCCAUUUUUAGUGUGAUGGUUGGAAAGUUUUUUUCGGUGUAGGAUGAGCUCGCGGCCUAUCAGCUUGUUGGUGGGGUAAUGGCCUACCAAGGCGGCGACGGGUAGCCGGCCUGAGAGGGUGGACGGCCACAUUGGGACUGAGAUACGGCCCAGACUCCUACGGGAGGCAGCAGUGGGGAAUAUUGCACAAUGGGCGCAAGCCUGAUGCAGCGACGCCGCGUGGGGGAUGACGGCCUUCGGGUUGUAAACUCCUUUCGCUAGGGACGAAGCUUCUUGUGACGGUACCUAGAUAAGAAGCACCGGCUAACUACGUG
This 466-nucleotide ribosomal RNA is filed under the name uncultured bacterium. Its description in RNAcentral is "partial 16S ribosomal RNA". It matches the Rfam family "Bacterial small subunit ribosomal RNA", at positions 28 to 507 of the family's 1533-position model. The record is from RNAcentral.